UACGGAGGAUGCAAGCGUAAUCCGGAAUGAUUGGGCGUAAAGCGUCCGCAGGUGGUUGUGUGUGUCUAUUGUCAAAGCAUCAUGCUUAACAUGAUAAAGGCAGUAGAAACUACACGACUAGAGUGCGUUCGGGGCAGAGGGAAUUCCUGGUGUAGCGGUGAAAUGCGUAGAGAUCAGGAAGAACACCGGUGGCGAAAGCGCUCUGCUAGGCCGCAACUGAAACUGAGGGAAGAAAGCUAGGGGAGCGAAUGGG
Molecule: ribosomal RNA, 253 nt
Filed under: uncultured bacterium
Lineage: Bacteria
Description: partial 16S ribosomal RNA
Rfam family: Bacterial small subunit ribosomal RNA
Source: RNAcentral